AACGAACGCUGGCGGCAGGCUUAACACAUGCAAGUCGAGCGCCUCGCAAGAGGAGCGGCCGACGGGUGAGUAACGCGUGGGCACGUACCCUUAUCUUCGGAAUAGCUCUGGGAAACUGGAAGUAAUACCGAAUGUGCCCUUAGGGGGAAAGAUUUAUCGGAUAAGGAUCGGCCCGCGUUGGAUUAGCUAGUUGGUGGGGUAAAGGCCUACCAAGGCGACGAUCCAUAGCUGGUCUGAGAGGAUGAUCAGCCACAUUGGGACUGAGACACGGCCCAAACUCCUACGGGAGGCAGCAGUGGGGAAUAUUGGACAAUGGGCGCAAGCCUGAUCCAGCCAUGCCGCGUGAGUGAUGAAGGCCUUAGGGUUGUAAAGCUCUUUCACCGGAGAAGAUAAUGACGGUAUCCGGAGAAGAAGCCCCGGCUAACUUCGUG
RNAcentral lists this ribosomal RNA (431 nucleotides) under uncultured bacterium. RNAcentral's name for it is "partial 16S ribosomal RNA". It matches the Rfam family "Bacterial small subunit ribosomal RNA", at positions 29 to 507 of the family's 1533-position model. The record is from RNAcentral.